Molecule: unclassified non-coding RNA, 309 nt
Filed under: uncultured fungus
Lineage: Eukaryota; Fungi
Description: sequence contains ITS1, 5.8S rRNA gene
Rfam family: 5.8S ribosomal RNA (bases 261-309)
Source: RNAcentral
UUUCCGUAGGUGAGUGAAGCCAACCUUAUUACUGCGUCCUGCGUGAAACCGUGCUAACUGUGAUCAAUAGGUGAACCUGCGGAAGGAUCAUUAUCGAGUUUGGUGCCAUUUCGGCACCCGCUCCCAUCCUUUGUGAACCCGUUAGAUGUUGCUUUGGCGGAUCGGCACCGCCCCCCGGCGUCUUGCUGGGGCGUGUCCGCUAGAGGCCUUUAAAACCUGUUCAACGUUGAAAAUCUGAGCAGACCAUUAAAAAAAAUCAAAACUUUCAACAACGGAUCUCUUGGUUCUGGCAUCGAUGAAGAACGCAGC